AACGUAGGACGCAAGCGUUAUCCGGAGUUACUGGGCGUAAAGCGCGGGCAGGCGGUCUUGCCAGUCUGAUGUGAAAUCUCCUCGCUCAACGGGGAGCAGCCAUUGGAAACUACAAGACUGGAGUCUGGCAGAGGUAGGCGGAAUUCCGGGUGGAGUGGUGAAAUGCGUAGAGAUCAGGAAGAACACCCGUGGCGCAAGCGGCCACCUGGCAGAGUUCUGACGCUGAGGCACGAAAGCGUGGGGAGCAAACAGG
RNAcentral lists this ribosomal RNA (253 nucleotides) under uncultured bacterium. RNAcentral's name for it is "partial 16S ribosomal RNA". It matches the Rfam family "Bacterial small subunit ribosomal RNA", at positions 524 to 776 of the family's 1533-position model. The record is from RNAcentral.